AUCAACUCAAGCUUCGAUUUGUUUUCUUCGGUUCCGGCUGCUUCGUCCUCCGGGUUCGGCGACGAAAAAAGACCCAACCAGCCUAGGAGGACCGUCCAGCCGCCUAGCGCCCGCCUAGCAGUCUUGCUGCCCGCCUAGGCCCUUUUUUAGAGUCUAAAGCAGAAGAUGCCGAGGAUAGACCCGAAACGGCUGCCUCUCAGGCUCAAAAGAUGGCUGACAUUGCUACAGGACAAUGGAUUCAAAUUCAGUGCCUUGAGCAGGCUCUUCAUAUUACACAAAACCAAAGGUUCCUCUUGGUUAGCAGAAUUCAAAGGAAUGUGGUUCCAGUGACCAUCUAGUAGAUGCAACUUUGCCUGCUACUGAAGUCAAAUCAUCAGAACUGAGUAUAAGGAAUGGUACAAAUAAUCUUCACUAUUAUUAUCAACAGUGUCUUCUG
Long non-coding RNA from Prunus persica (peach), 436 nucleotides. RefSeq lists it as uncharacterized. Lineage: Eukaryota; Viridiplantae; Streptophyta; Magnoliopsida; Rosales; Rosaceae. The transcript is spliced from 3 exons. The record is from RefSeq and is a predicted model, not a curated record.